ACAUCCAGCGAAUUCGGUAGAGAUACCUUAGUGCCUUCGGGAACGCUGAGACAGGUGCUGCAUGGCUGUCGUCAGCUCGUGUUGUGAAAUGUUGGGUUAAGUCCCGCAACGAGCGCAACCCUUUAUCCUUUGUUGCCAGCGGUCCGGCCGGGAACUCAAAGGAGACUGCCAGUGAUAAACUGGAGGAAGGUGGGGAUGACGUCAAGUCAUCAUGGCCCUUACGAGUAGGGCUACACACGUGCUACAAUGGCGCAUACAAAGAGAAGCGACCUCGCGAGAGCAAGCGGACCUCAUAAAGUGCGUCGUAGUCCGGAUUGGAGUCUGCAACUCGACUCCAUGAAGUCGGAAUCGCUAGUAAUCGUAGAUCAGAAUGCUACGGUGAAUACGUUCCCGGGCCUUGUACACACCGCCCGUCACACCAUGGGAGUGGGUUGCAAAAGAAGUAGGUAGCUUAACCUUCGGGAGGGCGCUUACCACUUUGUGAUUCAUGACUGGGGUGAAGUCGUAACAAGGUAAGCGUAGAUGA
RNAcentral lists this ribosomal RNA (526 nucleotides) under uncultured bacterium. RNAcentral describes it as "bacterial SSU rRNA". It matches the Rfam family "Bacterial small subunit ribosomal RNA", at positions 984 to 1509 of the family's 1533-position model. The record is from RNAcentral.